GAGACUCUGUGCGCGUGCAUAUCAAUAAGCGGAGGAAAAGAAACUAACAAGGAUUCCCUUAGUAACGGCGAGUGAAGCGGGAAGAGCUCAAAUUUGAAAUCUUCAAGGUUCUACCUUGACGAAUUGUAGUUUAUAGAAGUGUUUUCUGUAGUGAGUUUGGUAAAAGUUCUUUGGAAUAGGACAUCAUAGAGGGUGAGAAUCCCGUAUUUGAUCCAGUUACUUUCCAGCUGUGUGAUACACUUUCAAAGAGUCGGAUUGUUUGGGAAUGCAGUCCAAAAUGGGUGGUAAAUUUCAUCUAAAGCUAAAUAUUGGCGAGAGACCGAUAGCGAGCAAGUACCGUGAGGGAAAGAUGAAAAGAACUUUGAAAAGAGAGUUAAACAGUACGUGAAAUUGUCAAAAGGGAAGCGUUUGACACCAGUGUUGUUUUUCCGAAAAUCAAUUACGAAUGUUUUAUUUUUGAGGAGUUAUGACUUCAUCGGCUUGCUUCUCUCUUUAUGAAACUUUCUUAAUGCACUUUUCGGUUAACAAGUCAACAUCAAUAUCUUUUGUUGUAAAAGGGUAUGAGGAGGGUGGCUUUCUUUUCGGAGAAAGUGUUUAUAGCCUUGUGCCUCUGCAAUCGGAGAGAUUGAGGUCUGCAGCGUAGAUCCUUCGGGGUUAGAUACAUUUGUGCUAAGUUAUAGCUUUUCAUAGACAACUUGUUGACUAUGUUUAGUCUUGUAGCUUACUCGCUUAUGCUAUUUUACCUACGCUUAGGAUGUUGACAGCAGUAUAGACUGU
Molecule: ribosomal RNA, 777 nt
Filed under: uncultured Neocallimastigales
Lineage: Eukaryota; Fungi; Neocallimastigomycota; Neocallimastigomycetes; Neocallimastigales
Description: partial large subunit ribosomal RNA
Rfam family: Eukaryotic large subunit ribosomal RNA
Source: RNAcentral